GUUAGCUCAGUUGGUUAGAACAUGGUGUUGAUAACGCCAAGGUUGCAGGUUCGAUCCCCGUCUGAGACA
Molecule: non-coding RNA, 69 nt
Organism: Podarcis lilfordi (Lilford's wall lizard)
Lineage: Eukaryota; Metazoa; Chordata; Lepidosauria; Squamata; Lacertidae
Source: the annotation of a GenBank genome assembly